AUGGACCCAUCACAGAAGUUUAACCCAACUUUGAUCCCAAAGCCUUCAAAAAUGCUCACUGAAGAAAAUUCCCAGGACAAUUCAGGGCCUCUCAUAACUUCUGCUCCGAGACAUUGAUAAAGAACCUUAAACUUGAUUCUCAGCUCUGGUAUCAAAUUCCCUUCCUCUCUACCAGAAGGUUCACUCCAACAAUAGGAGAAAAGAGAAAUGAUCUUCCAGGACAUCAGAGAUGGCUUACCUUACAGGAGGAGGGAGUAAGAACAUUGCUGUCUGUAUGGAAAGAAAUGAUGCUAAAAUGUAGAUACGUGUCACUUAGCAGGCUUCCUAGGCUUGAAAGAAAACAAACACUGGGCUUAAGGGAGUUCAGAAUGAUCAAGAAGUGAACCAUUCAAAUGUGGCUGUGGUUUCUAUGUGUAUCAUAGAUGGGAUUCUUCUGAGAAUGCUAGAAUAGGGAAUUAUGGCACUGAGCCAAUUCAGCCA
This 480-nucleotide long non-coding RNA is filed under the name Homo sapiens (human). RNAcentral's name for it is "non-protein coding lnc-ST3GAL1-3:1". The record is from RNAcentral. Lineage: Eukaryota; Metazoa; Chordata; Mammalia; Primates; Hominidae.